GACGAACGCUGACGGCGUGCUUAACACAUGCAAGUCGAACGGUGAAGCGCCUUCCUUUUUGGUGGGUGUGGAUGAGUGGCGAACGGGUGAGUAACACGUGAGUAACCUGCCCCCUUCUUCUGGAUAACCGCAUGAAAGUGUGGCUAAUACGGGAUAUUCUGGGUCUGUCGCAUGAUGGGUCUGGGAAAGAUAUUGUUUCGGUGGGGGAUGGGCUCGCGGCCUAUCAGCUUGUUGGUGGGGUGAUGGCCUACCAAGGCGGUGAGGGGUAGCCGGCCUGAGAGGGUGGACGGUCACACUGGGACUGAGACACGGCCCAGACUCCUACGGGAGGCAGCAGUGGGGAAUAUUGCACAAUGGGCGCAAGCCUGAUGCAGCGACGCCGCGUGAGGGAUGGAGGCCUUCGGGUUGUGAACCUCUUUCGCCAGUGAAGCAGGCCUGCCUCGUUUGUGGGUGGGUUGACGGUAGCUGGAUAAGAAGCGCCGGCUAACUACGUG
This 494-nucleotide ribosomal RNA is filed under the name uncultured bacterium. Its description in RNAcentral is "partial 16S ribosomal RNA". It matches the Rfam family "Bacterial small subunit ribosomal RNA", at positions 28 to 507 of the family's 1533-position model. The record is from RNAcentral.